Molecule: transfer RNA, 81 nt
Filed under: Candidatus Pacearchaeota archaeon
Lineage: Archaea; Nanobdellati
Description: tRNA-Ser
Rfam family: tRNA
About the family: Transfer RNA (tRNA) molecules are approximately 80 nucleotides in length. Their secondary structure includes four short double-helical elements and three loops (D, anti-codon, and T loops).
Source: RNAcentral
GCCCAGUUCGCAUAGUGGUAUUGCACGAGAUUGCUAAUCUCGGCCCUUCGGGGCUCGCAGGUUCGAUUCCUGCACUGGGCG